UGCGUAGGCGGAAUAUUAAGUCAGUGGUGAAAUCCUGCGGCUCAACCGUAGAACUGCCAUUGAUACUGAUAUUCUUGAAUGUAGUUGAGGUAGGCGGAAUGUGUAAUGUAGCGGUGAAAUGCUUAGAUAUCACACAGAACACCGAUUGCGAAGGCAGCUUACUAAACUAUGAUUGACGCUGAUGCACGAAAGCGUGGGGAGCGAACAGGAUUAGAUACCCUGGUAGUCC
RNAcentral lists this ribosomal RNA (229 nucleotides) under uncultured bacterium. RNAcentral describes it as "partial 16S ribosomal RNA". It matches the Rfam family "Bacterial small subunit ribosomal RNA", at positions 568 to 796 of the family's 1533-position model. The record is from RNAcentral.